This is a long non-coding RNA of Balaenoptera musculus (blue whale), 531 nucleotides long. RefSeq lists it as uncharacterized. NCBI's taxonomy places the organism in Eukaryota, Metazoa, Chordata, Mammalia, Artiodactyla, Balaenopteridae. The transcript is spliced from 4 exons. The record is from RefSeq and is a predicted model, not a curated record.
UGGCACGUGGGCUCAGUAGUUGUGGCUCGCGGGCUCUAGAGCGCAGGCUCAGCAGUCCCCCCAUAGUUCUUGCAUGCUGAUCAACUGAUGCUCGGGAAGGAAAAGUAAAACUUGGAGCUCCUCUCUGAUGAAGAUGAUACCUACAAGGGCAAAUUUGAGGCACCAUAUGUGAAAUGCUGGGACCCCUUGAUGAGAAAGGAGACAUCGAAAGCCAAGGAUGCUUGUGCAGUUACUCUGAUGCGGCAGUUUUCUGGUGCCAUCUAGUGCUUCACAGAAGCAAUGGCAGAUGAAUGGCUCAGUCGUAAAAGGACACAGGUUGCAGCAAAAUUAUCACCUGGUUCUCCUGAAAGAGAAGGUGAUACAGCCCAGAGCCCUUGCUGAGAAAGAUGUGUUCCUCAGAGGGAAAAACACAGGACAGCUAUUGUGGAGAAGCUUUUGGGCAGUUAAUGGAACAGCAUAUCAAUGAAUACAAGCAUACCUUGGAAAAAUUGCAGGUUCAGUUUCAGAUCACCACAAUAAAGCGAAUAUCAC